Molecule: ribosomal RNA, 497 nt
Filed under: uncultured bacterium
Lineage: Bacteria
Description: partial 16S ribosomal RNA
Rfam family: Bacterial small subunit ribosomal RNA
Source: RNAcentral
GAUGAACGCUGGCGGCGUGCCUAAUACAUGCAAGUCGAGCGAACGGACGAGAAGCUUGCUUCUCUGAUGUUAGCGGCGGACGGGUGAGUAACACGUGGAUAACCUACCUAUAAGACUGGGAUAACUUCGGGAAACCGGAGCUAAUGCCGGAUAAUAUUUUGAACCGCAUGGUUCAAAAGUGAAAGACGGUCUUGCUGUCACUUAUAGAUGGAUCCGCGCUGCAUUAGCUAGUUGGUAAGGUAACGGCUUACCAAGGCAACGAUGCAUAGCCGACCUGAGAGGGUGAUCGGCCACACUGGAACUGAGACACGGUCCAGACUCCUACGGGAGGCAGCAGUAGGGAAUCUUCCGCAAUGGGCGCAAGCCUGACGGAGCAACGCCGCGUGAGUGAUGAAGGUCUUCGGAUCGUAAAACUCUGUUAUUAGGGAAGAACAUAUGUGUAAGUAACUGUGCACAUCUUGACGGUACCUAAUCAGAAAGCCACGGCUAACUACGUG